Molecule: non-coding RNA, 386 nt
Organism: Synechococcus sp. MIT S9508
Lineage: Bacteria; Bacillati; Cyanobacteriota; Cyanophyceae; Synechococcales; Synechococcaceae
Source: Rfam
GAAAGCAGGAGAGGUGAUCGCAACCGAAUUGCAGCCCAGUGCUGAGAUCCGGUUGAGGAAAGUCCGGGCUCCCCGAUGGCCAGGCUUGCUGGGUAACGCCCAGUGCGGGUGACCGUGAGGAGAGUGCCACAGAAACACACCGCCGAUGGCCGGUUCGCCGGCACAGGCAAGGGUGCAAAGGUGCGGUAAGGGCGCACCAGCAGCAUCGAGAGGUGCUGGCUAGGUAAACCCCGGCCGGGAGCAAGGCCAAGGAACGAUGACUGGCCAUCUGUCCCGUUCCGAUGAGUGAGCCGCUAGAGGCCGCCGGAGACGACGGUCCCAGAUAGAUGAUCACCCCCUUCCCUCGGGAAGGAGAACAGAACCCGGCUUAUGACCUGCUUUCACAC